Molecule: ribosomal RNA, 269 nt
Filed under: uncultured prokaryote
Description: partial 16S ribosomal RNA
Rfam family: Bacterial small subunit ribosomal RNA
Source: RNAcentral
UACGGAGGAUGCGAGCGUUAUCCGGAUUUAUUGGGUUUAAAGGGUGCGUAGGCGGAAGAUUAAGUCGGUGGUGAAAUUUUACAGCUCAACUGUAACAGUGCCAUUGAUACUGGUUUUCUUGAGUAUGGAUGAAGUAGGCGGAAUUUGUGGUGUAGCGGUGAAAUGCAUAGAUAUCACGAGGAACUCCGAUUGCGCAGGCAGCUUACUAAACCAUAACUGACGCUCAGGCACGAAGGCGUGGGGAUCAAACAGGAUUAGAUACCCCGGUA